RNAcentral lists this ribosomal RNA (402 nucleotides) under uncultured bacterium. RNAcentral describes it as "bacterial SSU rRNA". It matches the Rfam family "Bacterial small subunit ribosomal RNA", at positions 355 to 774 of the family's 1533-position model. The record is from RNAcentral.
UGGGGAAUAUUGCACAAUGGGCGAAAGCCUGAUGCAGCAACGCCGCGUGAGUGAUGAAGGCCUUCGGGUUGUAAAGCUCUGUCUUCUGGGACGAUAAUGACGGUACCAGAGGAGGAAGCCACGGCUAACUACGUGCCAGCAGCCGCGGUAAUACGUAGGUGGCAAGCGUUGUCCGGAUUUAAUGGGCGUAAAGGAUGCGUAGGCGGAUACUUAAGUCAGAUGUGAAAAUCCCGGGCUUAACUUGGGAACUGCAUUUGAAACUGGGUACCUAGAGUGCGGGAGAGGAAAGUGGAAUUCCUAGUGUAUCGGUGAAAUGCGUAGAGAUUAGGAAGAACACCAGUGGCGAAGGCGACUUUCUGGACCGUAACUGACGCUGAGGCAUGAAAGCGUGGGGAGCAAACA